GAUGAACGCUGGCGGCGUGCUUAACACAUGCAAGUCGAAUGAGAAGUGAAGACGGAAACCUUCGGGCGGAAGGCUUUAUUUCGAGUGGCGGACGGGUGAGUAACGCGUGGGUAACCUGCCUCAUACAGGGGGAUAACAGUUGGAAACGACUGUUAAUACCGCAUAAGACCACAGCACCGCAUGGUGCGGGGGUAAAAACUCCGGUGGUAUGAGAUGGACCCGCGUUCGAUUAGCCAGUUGGCGGGGUAACGGCCCACCAAAGCGACGAUCGAUAGCCGAUCUGAGAGGAUGACCGGCCACAUUGGGACUGAGACACGGCCCAAACUCCUACGGGAGGCAGCAGUGGGGAAUAUUGCACAAUGGGGGAAACCCUGAUGCAGCGACGCCGCGUGAGUGAAGAAGUAUUUCGGUAUGUAAAGCGCUAUCAGCAGGGAAGAAAAUGACGGUACCUGAGUAAGAAGCCCCGGCUAACUACGUG
This 478-nucleotide ribosomal RNA is filed under the name uncultured bacterium. RNAcentral's name for it is "partial 16S ribosomal RNA". It matches the Rfam family "Bacterial small subunit ribosomal RNA", at positions 28 to 507 of the family's 1533-position model. The record is from RNAcentral.